CCCUUAGAUGUUCUGGGCCGCACGCGCGCUACACUGAUGAAUUCAACGAGCACUAACCUGUGCCGAAAGGUUCGGGUAAUCUUGUGAAAUUUCAUCGUGAUGGGGGUUGAUUAUUGCAAUUUUUAAUCAUAAACGAGGAAUGCCUAGUAAGCGUGAGUCAUCAGCUCACGUUGAUUACGUCCCUGCCCUUUGUACACACCGCCCGUCGCUCCUACCGAUUGAAUGUGCCAGUGAAAAGUUCGGAUUGGAGAUAGGAGACGGCAACGUAUCCUAUUUCCGAGAAAAUCUUUAAACUUUCCCAUUUAGAGGAAGGAGAAGUCGUAACA
RNAcentral lists this ribosomal RNA (326 nucleotides) under uncultured eukaryote. RNAcentral describes it as "partial 18S ribosomal RNA". It matches the Rfam family "Eukaryotic small subunit ribosomal RNA", at positions 1470 to 1796 of the family's 1831-position model. The record is from RNAcentral.